RNAcentral lists this ribosomal RNA (455 nucleotides) under uncultured Sphingobacterium sp. Its description in RNAcentral is "bacterial SSU rRNA". It matches the Rfam family "Bacterial small subunit ribosomal RNA", at positions 9 to 491 of the family's 1533-position model. Lineage: Bacteria; Pseudomonadati; Bacteroidota; Sphingobacteriia; Sphingobacteriales; Sphingobacteriaceae. The record is from RNAcentral.
GAGUUUGAUCCUGGCUCAGAACGAACGCUGGCGGCAUGCUUAACACAUGCAAGUCGAACGGUGGCUUCGGCCACAGUGGCGCACGGGUGAGUAUCGCGUGGGAACCUGCCUUGGAGUUCGGAAUAACCGCGGGAAACUGCGGCUAAUACCGGAUAUUGCCUUCGGGUGAAAGAUUUAUCACUUAGAGAUGGGCGUGCGUCUGAUUAGGUAGUUGGUGAGGUAACGGCUCACCAAGCCGACGAUCAGUAACUGGCGUGAGAGCGCGACCAGUCACACGGGCACUGAGACACGGGCCCGACUCCUACGGGAGGCAGCAGUAAGGAUAUUGGUCAAUGGACGCAAGUCUGAACCAGCCAUGCCGCGUGGAGGAUGAAGGUCCUCUGGAUUGUAAACUUCUUUUAUCUGGGAAGAAAUGCUUUUUUUCUAAAGAGCUUGACGGUACCAGAUGAAUAAGC